GGGUGCCUACUGCGGCUGCACUGGCAGUUGAGUUGCCAGUAGGCAAAGGUAUACUAUCGAAGCUUUGCUACUUGUGUUGAUCAUGUUGUGUUAUUGACGUAUUGAUUCCAUGCAGGUGAUCUUGGGGCCUUGGGGGACCCUGAAGCGAAAGGUGUGCCUAAGAGGCAAACUGUGAAGGGCGUGCGCUUUCGCCAAAAGAAGAUAAAGGAGGUCACUACUGUGCCUCAUCUGGUGCCGCAGGCAGCAGCCGCGGAGUCACGUUCUGGUGCUGCGAAGAAGCAGGCAGAAGAGGUGGCUGCGGGAGGGACAGCUGCGGGUCCCCCUGUGAUUGGUGAGAAGAGGAGGCCAGAGCAGAAAGCUGCUGGUGGUGUUGAAACCAAACGUCGGAGGCUAGUAACCAAAAGGUCUGCUCCGGCGCAGAAAAAACCUGCGGUUGUCGUUGAGCGUCAAGAUGAAGAUUUUUCUAUCUUCGAUGCUCCGGAGUCCCCUCCGCGUGCCAUGGAUGCGGGUGGAGCGGAGGUGCCAUCGACACCUCCCGUCAAGGUGGUACCCGAGUCAACCGUGCAGAAGGAGGGUACCGC
Molecule: long non-coding RNA, 581 nt
Organism: Helianthus annuus (common sunflower)
Lineage: Eukaryota; Viridiplantae; Streptophyta; Magnoliopsida; Asterales; Asteraceae
Exons: 3
Source: RefSeq, a predicted model, not a curated record